Molecule: microRNA precursor, 65 nt
Filed under: Pristionchus pacificus
Lineage: Eukaryota; Metazoa; Nematoda; Chromadorea; Rhabditida; Neodiplogasteridae
Description: mir-8364 microRNA precursor family
Rfam family: mir-8364 microRNA precursor family
Source: Rfam by way of RNAcentral
UCUUCAAUCAUUCCACACACUCUCUCACCGGUCAGAGAGCCGAGAGAGUGUGGGAAAUGAAGAGA